UACGUAGGUCACAAGCGUUACCCGGUUUUAUUGGGCGUAAAGAGUCUGUAGGUGGUUCUCUAAGUCCUGUUUCAAAGACCUCGGCUUAACCGAGGGCAGGGGCAGGAUACUGGAAAACUAGAGUGAUAUCGGGGUUACUGGAAUUUGUAGUGUAGGGGUUAAAUCCGUGGAUACUACAAAGAACACCAAGCGCGAAGGCGGGUAACCAGGUAUAUACUGACACUCAGAGACGAAAGCUAGGGUAG
Molecule: ribosomal RNA, 245 nt
Filed under: uncultured bacterium
Lineage: Bacteria
Description: partial 16S ribosomal RNA
Rfam family: Bacterial small subunit ribosomal RNA
Source: RNAcentral